AUGAACGCUGGCGGCGUGCCUAAUACAUGCAAGUCGAGCGAACAGACGAGGAGCUUGCUCCUCUGACGUUAGCGGCGGACGGGUGAGUAACACGUGGAUAACCUACCUAUAAGACUGGGAUAACUUCGGGAAACCGGAGCUAAUACCGGAUAAUAUAUUGAACCGCAUGGUUCAAUAGUGAAAGACGGUUUUGCUGUCACUUAUAGAUGGAUCCGCGCCGCAUUAGCUAGUUGGUAAGGUAACGGCUUACCAAGGCAACGAUGCGUAGCCGACCUGAGAGGGUGAUCGGCCACACUGGAACUGAGACACGGUCCAGACUCCUACGGGAGGCAGCAGUAGGGAAUCUUCCGCAAUGGGCGAAAGCCUGACGGAGCAACGCCGCGUGAGUGAUGAAGGUCUUCGGAUCGUAAAACUCUGUUAUUAGGGAAGAACAAAUGUGUAAGUAACUAUGCACGUCUUGACGGUACCUACUCAGAAAGCCACGGCUAACUACGUG
RNAcentral lists this ribosomal RNA (496 nucleotides) under uncultured bacterium. Its description in RNAcentral is "partial 16S ribosomal RNA". It matches the Rfam family "Bacterial small subunit ribosomal RNA", at positions 29 to 507 of the family's 1533-position model. The record is from RNAcentral.